RNAcentral lists this ribosomal RNA (1325 nucleotides) under Curtobacterium sp. 11.3 AW. RNAcentral's name for it is "16S ribosomal RNA". It matches the Rfam family "Bacterial small subunit ribosomal RNA", at positions 77 to 1414 of the family's 1533-position model. Lineage: Bacteria; Bacillati; Actinomycetota; Actinomycetes; Micrococcales; Microbacteriaceae. The record is from RNAcentral.
AGCUUGCUGGGUGGAUUAGUGGCGAACGGGUGAGUAACACGUGAGUAACCUGCCCCUGACUCUGGGAUAAGCGUUGGAAACGACGUCUAAUACUGGAUAUGACUGCCGGCCGCAUGGUCUGGUGGUGGAAAGAUUUUUUGGUUGGGGAUGGACUCGCGGCCUAUCAGCUUGUUGGUGAGGUAAUGGCUCACCAAGGCGACGACGGGUAGCCGGCCUGAGAGGGUGACCGGCCACACUGGGACUGAGACACGGCCCAGACUCCUACGGGAGGCAGCAGUGGGGAAUAUUGCACAAUGGGCGAAAGCCUGAUGCAGCAACGCCGCGUGAGGGAUGACGGCCUUCGGGUUGUAAACCUCUUUUAGUAGGGAAGAAGCGAAAGUGACGGUACCUGCAGAAAAAGCACCGGCUAACUACGUGCCAGCAGCCGCGGUAAUACGUAGGGUGCAAGCGUUGUCCGGAAUUAUUGGGCGUAAAGAGCUCGUAGGCGGUUUGUCGCGUCUGCUGUGAAAUCCCGAGGCUCAACCUCGGGCUUGCAGUGGGUACGGGCAGACUAGAGUGCGGUAGGGGAGAUUGGAAUUCCUGGUGUAGCGGUGGAAUGCGCAGAUAUCAGGAGGAACACCGAUGGCGAAGGCAGAUCUCUGGGCCGUAACUGACGCUGAGGAGCGAAAGCAUGGGGAGCGAACAGGAUUAGAUACCCUGGUAGUCCAUGCCGUAAACGUUGGGCGCUAGAUGUAGGGACCUUUCCACGGUUUCUGUGUCGUAGCUAACGCAUUAAGCGCCCCGCCUGGGGAGUACGGCCGCAAGGCUAAAACUCAAAGGAAUUGACGGGGGCCCGCACAAGCGGCGGAGCAUGCGGAUUAAUUCGAUGCAACGCGAAGAACCUUACCAAGGCUUGACAUACACCGGAAACGGCCAGAGAUGGUCGCCCCCUUGUGGUCGGUGUACAGGUGGUGCAUGGUUGUCGUCAGCUCGUGUCGUGAGAUGUUGGGUUAAGUCCCGCAACGAGCGCAACCCUCGUUCUAUGUUGCCAGCGCGUUAUGGCGGGGACUCAUAGGAGACUGCCGGGGUCAACUCGGAGGAAGGUGGGGAUGACGUCAAAUCAUCAUGCCCCUUAUGUCUUGGGCUUCACGCAUGCUACAAUGGCCGGUACAAAGGGCUGCGAUACCGUAAGGUGGAGCGAAUCCCAAAAAGCCGGUCUCAGUUCGGAUUGAGGUCUGCAACUCGACCUCAUGAAGUCGGAGUCGCUAGUAAUCGCAGAUCAGCAACGCUGCGGUGAAUACGUUCCCGGGCCUUGUACACACCGCCCGUCAAGUCAUGAAAGUCGG